GGUUAAGCGACUAAGCGUACACGGUGGAUGCCCUGGCAGUCAGAGGCGAUGAAGGACGUGCUAAUCUGCGAUAAGCGUCGGUAAGGUGAUAUGAACCGUUAUAACCGGCGAUUUCCGAAUGGGGAAACCCAGUGUGAUUCGUCACACUAUCAUUAACUGAAUCCAUAGGUUAAUGAGGCGAACCGGGGGAACUGAAACAUCUAAGUACCCCGAGGAAAAGAAAUCAACCGAGAUUCCCCCAGUAGCGGCGAGCGAACGGGGAGCAGCCCAGAGCCUGAAUCAGUGUGUGUGUUAGUGGAAGCGUCUGGAAAGGCGCGCGAUACAGGGUGACAGCCCCGUACACAAAAAUGCACAUGCUGUGAGCUCGAUGAGUAGGGCGGGACACGUGGUAUCCUGUCUGAAUAUGGGGGGACCAUCCUCCAAGGCUAAAUACUCCUGACUGACCGAUAGUGAACCAGUACCGUGAGGGAAAGGCGAAAAGAACCCCGGCGAGGGGAGUGAAAAAGAACCUGAAACCGUGUACGUACAAGCAGUGGGAGCACAGAGCAAUCUGUGUGACUGCGUACCUUUUGUAUAAUGGGUCAGCGACUUAUAUUCUGUAGCAAGGUUAACCGAAUAGGGGAGCCGAAGGGAAACCGAGUCUUAACUGGGCGUUAAGUUGCAGGGUAUAGACCCGAAACCCGGUGAUCUAGCCAUGGGCAGGUUGAAGGUUGGGUAACACUAACUGGAGGACCGAACCGACUAAUGUUGAAAAAUUAGCGGAUGACUUGUGGCUGGGGGUGAAAGGCCAAUCAAACCGGGAGAUAGCUGGUUCUCCCCGAAAGCUAUUUAGGUAGCGCCUCGUGAAUUCAUCUCCGGGGGUAGAGCACUGUUUCGGCAAGGGGGUCAUCCCGACUUACCAACCCGAUGCAAACUGCGAAUACCGGAGAAUGUUAUCACGGGAGACACACGGCGGGUGCUAACGUCCGUCGUGAAGAGGGAAACAACCCAGACCGCCAGCUAAGGUCCCAAAGUCAUGGUUAAGUGGGAAACGAUGUGGGAAGGCCCAGACAGCCAGGAUGUUGGCUUAGAAGCAGCCAUCAUUUAAAGAAAGCGUAAUAGCUCACUGGUCGAGUCGGCCUGCGCGGAAGAUGUAACGGGGCUAAACCAUGCACCGAAGCUGCGGCAGCGACGCUUAUGCGUUGUUGGGUAGGGGAGCGUUCUGUAAGCCUGUGAAGGUGUGCUGUGAGGCAUGCUGGAGGUAUCAGAAGUGCGAAUGCUGACAUAAGUAACGAUAAAGCGGGUGAAAAGCCCGCUCGCCGGAAGACCAAGGGUUCCUGUCCAACGUUAAUCGGGGCAGGGUGAGUCGACCCCUAAGGCGAGGCCGAAAGGCGUAGUCGAUGGGAAACAGGUUAAUAUUCCUGUACUUGGUGUUACUGCGAAGGGGGGACGGAGAAGGCUAUGUUGGCCGGGCGACGGUUGUCCCGGUUUAAGCGUGUAGGCUGGUUUUCCAGGCAAAUCCGGAAAAUCAAGGCUGAGGCGUGAUGACGAGGCACUACGGUGCUGAAGCAACAAAUGCCCUGCUUCCAGGAAAAGCCUCUAAGCAUCAGGUAACAUCAAAUCGUACCCCAAACCGACACAGGUGGUCAGGUAGAGAAUACCAAGGCGCUUGAGAGAACUCGGGUGAAGGAACUAGGCAAAAUGGUGCCGUAACUUCGGGAGAAGGCACGCUGAUAUGUAGGUGAGGUCCCUCGCGGAUGGAGCUGAAAUCAGUCGAAGAUACCAGCUGGCUGCAACUGUUUAUUAAAAACACAGCACUGUGCAAACACGAAAGUGGACGUAUACGGUGUGACGCCUGCCCGGUGCCGGAAGGUUAAUUGAUGGGGUUAGCGGUAACGCGAAGCUCUUGAUCGAAGCCCCGGUAAACGGCGGCCGUAACUAUAACGGUCCUAAGGUAGCGAAAUUCCUUGUCGGGUAAGUUCCGACCUGCACGAAUGGCGUAAUGAUGGCCAGGCUGUCUCCACCCGAGACUCAGUGAAAUUGAACUCGCUGUGAAGAUGCAGUGUACCCGCGGCAAGACGGAAAGACCCCGUGAACCUUUACUAUAGCUUGACACUGAACAUUGAGCCUUGAUGUGUAGGAUAGGUGGGAGGCUUUGAAGUGUGGACGCCAGUCUGCAUGGAGCCGGCCUUGAAAUACCACCCUUUAAUGUUUGAUGUUCUAACGUUGGCCCCUGAUCGGGGUUGCGGACAGUGUCUGGUGGGUAGUUUGACUGGGGCGGUCUCCUCCUAAAGAGUAACGGAGGAGCACGAAGGUUGGCUAAUCCUGGUCGGACAUCAGGAGGUUAGUGCAAUGGCAUAAGCCAGCUUGACUGCGAGCGUGACGGCGCGAGCAGGUGCGAAAGCAGGUCAUAGUGAUCCGGUGGUUCUGAAUGGAAGGGCCAUCGCUCAACGGAUAAAAGGUACUCCGGGGAUAACAGGCUGAUACCGCCCAAGAGUUCAUAUCGACGGCGGUGUUUGGCACCUCGAUGUCGGCUCAUCACAUCCUGGGGCUGAAGUAGGUCCCAAGGGUAUGGCUGUUCGCCAUUUAAAGUGGUACGCGAGCUGGGUUUAGAACGUCGUGAGACAGUUCGGUCCCUAUCUGCCGUGGGCGCUGGAGAACUGAGGGGGGCUGCUCCUAGUACGAGAGGACCGGAGUGGACGCAUCACUGGUGUUCGGGUUGUCAUGCCAAUGGCACUGCCCGGUAGCUAAAUGCGGAAGAGAUAAGUGCUGAAAGCAUCUAAGCACGAAACUUGCCCCGAGAUGAGUUCUCCCUGACCCUUUAAGGGUCCUGAAGGAACGUUGAAGACGACGACGUUGAUAGGCCGGGUGUGUAAGCGCAGCGAUGCGUUGAGCUAACCGGUACUAAUGAACCGUGAGGCUUAACCUU
RNAcentral lists this ribosomal RNA (2908 nucleotides) under Escherichia coli. RNAcentral's name for it is "23S ribosomal RNA". It matches the Rfam family "Bacterial large subunit ribosomal RNA". The record is from RNAcentral. Lineage: Bacteria; Pseudomonadati; Pseudomonadota; Gammaproteobacteria; Enterobacterales; Enterobacteriaceae.